UGGCUCCUCUGGAGGACCAAAGCCGAUGAGAUGGAGGAGAGGGAAGAGUCUUCACCCUGCCUUGAGUCCCCGAAAUAUGGAUGAGACCAUGACACAGUUGCCUAACUCAACCCUACCAGGCCUCUCUUCCAUGUUGAGGCAGCGGGCCCAUUGUAUGAAGCACAUGCCAACGGACAUGAACCAAGUCCAGUUUGUGAGUAAAGACAGCCACGUCAUCCCGGCUUCACGAGGCUGGUGGGAAGGAGGGAAGAGAGAGCCACCGGACUGCUGGAGCUGAGAGAGCCUGGGGGCUGUGAUGAAAGAACACAUCAGUGUUUCUUUUACGUCAUUAGUGAAAUCCUUUGGUCUACAUUUAGGGUGUUUGUAGUUUACUCCCAUUACACAGAGCCUCCAUGCUGUUCCCUGAUGUAAGAAGCAUUUCUGAUUCGUCCCUGGGGAGGAGGGGAUGGCUGGAGGGCCUUUGGGGAUGAGGACUAGGCGGAGUGCCCCCAGGACGUGGUGCAGGAGUGGAAAAAGCCUGGGAUUUGCUGUCAGGGAAGCCUAGGUUCAGAUGUGGGCUCAGACACUCACUAGAUAGCUUCCCUUGGGCAAGCCAUGUGACUUCUCAGAUCCUCAGUUUCCCCAUCUAUAAAAUGGGGACAGUAGUAUUAUUAUUAGGUGUGAGUCCCUUAUCCCCAUUUUGCAGAUGGGGAAACUGAGGAACCAAGCAGUGAAGUGACUUGUCCAGGACAACACAGCAAGUGUCUGAGGUGGGAUCUGGUUGUCAGGAGGAAAGCCCUUUAAACUUUAUAGUGUUGUCCAACCAGACAUAGGGGUUGGAGGGCUGGCCUUGGCAUCAGGAAGGUCUAGCCUCUAAUCCUGCCUCAGACACAUAUUGCCUGUGUGACCCUGGACAAGUCACUUACCCUCUUCAUGCUCCAGACCAUAAAUUGAAGCGAAGUUUCUCAUUUGCAUUCAAUAGGGAGAGUUUCCACACUGGAAACUCUCACAUGAAUGAUGAUGAUAGCUAACGUGAACAGAGCCCUUUAAGAUUUGCAGUGACUUUAUAUACAUCAUCUCGCUGAUGCUCAUAACAACCCUGUGAGGUAGGUCCUAGCAUUACCCUCAUUUUACAGAUGAGAAAACUGAGGCUUAGGGGGUGAAAUGACUUGUCUAAGGUCACACAGCUAGUAAGUUUCUGAGUUGGAGCUGGAAACCCAGUUCUUCCUCACAUACUCUAUCCAGUAUCCCGCACUGCCUGGAAAUAAAAAUUUCCCAAUAAAUAUGAAGAGUUAUUUC
RNAcentral lists this long non-coding RNA (1278 nucleotides) under Phascolarctos cinereus (koala). RNAcentral describes it as "lncRNA (ENSPCIG00000005266.2)". Lineage: Eukaryota; Metazoa; Chordata; Mammalia; Diprotodontia; Phascolarctidae. The record is from RNAcentral.